Molecule: non-coding RNA, 129 nt
Organism: Fukomys damarensis (Damara mole-rat)
Lineage: Eukaryota; Metazoa; Chordata; Mammalia; Rodentia; Bathyergidae
Source: Ensembl
ACUGGAGGACCAAGAAGGCGGAGUCUGAUGAAGCAAGACUUUGCUGAUACACUCCUCCUAGAGAACAGGGUUGGAGAGAGCAGCCCAGACUGCAGGGAGUCAUGGGGCUGACUGUACUACCCAACACUG